AAUUCUCAACCUCACCAGUUUUGUAAUGAGACAGGUGAAGGCUUGGAUGUGGGGGUUUGCAGGCUGCCUCAGCGCUGGUCUGCUCCUCUGAAAUGCAUUAGCGAGCUCAUAUUGAGCUUCCGUCUAUUGGUGUGAUAACUAUCUAUGCCGUGGAUUGGAACUCAUGCUUGCUUCUAACCGUCCGCAAGGACAAUUUACUUGACCA
This 205-nucleotide unclassified non-coding RNA is filed under the name uncultured Pyrrhoderma. RNAcentral's name for it is "sequence contains ITS2". Lineage: Eukaryota; Fungi; Basidiomycota; Agaricomycetes; Hymenochaetales; Hymenochaetaceae. The record is from RNAcentral.